AUUGAACGCUGGCGGCAGGCCUAACACAUGCAAGUCGAACGGUAACAGGAAGAAGCUUGCUUCUUUGCUGACGAGUGGCGGACGGGUGAGUAAUGUCUGGGAAACUGCCUGAUGGAGGGGGAUAACUACUGGAAACGGUAGCUAAUACCGCAUAACGUCGCAAGACCAAAGAGGGGGACCUUCGGGCCUCUUGCCAUCGGAUGUGCCCAGAUGGGAUUAGCUAGUAGGUGGGGUAACGGCUCACCUAGGCGACGAUCCCUAGCUGGUCUGAGAGGAUGACCAGCCACACUGGAACUGAGACACGGUCCAGACGCCUAAGGGAGGGAGCAGUGGGGAAUAUUGCACAAUGGGCGCAAGCCUGAUGCAGCCAUGCCGCGUGUAUGAAGAAGGCCUUCGGGUUGUAAAGUACUUUCAGCGGGGAGGAAGGGAGUAAAGUUAAUACCUUUGCUCAUUGACGUUACCCGCAGAAGAAGCACCGGCUAACUCCGUG
RNAcentral lists this ribosomal RNA (490 nucleotides) under uncultured bacterium. Its description in RNAcentral is "partial 16S ribosomal RNA". It matches the Rfam family "Bacterial small subunit ribosomal RNA", at positions 30 to 507 of the family's 1533-position model. The record is from RNAcentral.